CCAAACAGAAGAUCAUGGAUUAUGUUUUAGUUUACCAAAGUUCGAUCUGUGCCAUUAAAGAUUCCCGCACCACCAGAAGCGAAGCUGACACCGGUCAUAAAGGAGGAGGUAUUCUGUGGCGAGACGGAGAGGUAUGGCGGUGAAGUAGCUUUCUUUGUAGGAAAAUCGAUGCCGUUGUGAGGGAAAUCUGCUUUGGCAACCGACACUGGGAGGUAAUUGUUGUUGCCCACAUCUACCAGGGAGUCACCAAAAACAAAAAUGGCUGGCACCAUUUGAGCGUUGGCGAAUUUGAGGCUCAGGACAAGGGCAAAACCAACCAAGAAACUCGGAAGAAAUGACUUGUUGCCCAUUUUCCUAGCUAUGAACAAAAGCACACUUCCCAAGAGUGUAUAUAUAGAUACAUAAAUGUCUUGGAACGAUCUCUUGUUAUUGCUGUAGCUAGAUAUUAUUACGAUGAGAUGAAAGGAUUGCGGGUCUAUCUUUGUUUU
Populus trichocarpa (black cottonwood) is the source of this 488-nucleotide long non-coding RNA. RefSeq lists it as uncharacterized. Lineage: Eukaryota; Viridiplantae; Streptophyta; Magnoliopsida; Malpighiales; Salicaceae. The record is from RefSeq and is a predicted model, not a curated record. The transcript is spliced from 2 exons.